RNAcentral lists this ribosomal RNA (179 nucleotides) under uncultured Atopobium sp. RNAcentral describes it as "partial 16S ribosomal RNA". It matches the Rfam family "Bacterial small subunit ribosomal RNA", at positions 335 to 524 of the family's 1533-position model. Lineage: Bacteria; Bacillati; Actinomycetota; Coriobacteriia; Coriobacteriales; Atopobiaceae. The record is from RNAcentral.
ACUCCUACGGGAGGCAGCAGUGGGGAAUAUUGCACAAUGGGCGAAAGCCUGAUGCAGCGACGCCGCGUGCGGGAUGAAGGCCUUCGGGUUGUAAACCGCUUUCAGCAGGGACGAGGCCGCAAGGUGACGGUACCUGCAGAAGAAGCCCCGGCUAACUACGUGCCAGCAGCCGCGGUAAU